GAUAUUUUUAUCUCUUUUUCACUUUUAUCUAGAAAGAAUAAAAAUUUUAAUUUUUCUCUACUGAAGUGUUCGGCAAAGAAUGGCAAAGGCUGGUAUUUUCAUCAAAUUUUGCAGAAAGGAUAAUAGAUCAUGGUUACAGAAUGUACCCCUGUGUGAUCAGAAACAGUAUCUUCACUUUCGCGUACCAGCUGUUUAUUGAACAUCUCUUGAGUUUUGCUACGGCCCCACAAUAAAAUGUGCAAAACGGA
RNAcentral lists this long non-coding RNA (248 nucleotides) under Fukomys damarensis (Damara mole-rat). RNAcentral describes it as "lncRNA (ENSFDAG00000026525.1)". The record is from RNAcentral. Lineage: Eukaryota; Metazoa; Chordata; Mammalia; Rodentia; Bathyergidae.